Molecule: long non-coding RNA, 884 nt
Organism: Salvelinus fontinalis (brook trout)
Lineage: Eukaryota; Metazoa; Chordata; Actinopteri; Salmoniformes; Salmonidae
Exons: 5
Source: RefSeq, a predicted model, not a curated record
AUCAUAUCACAAAGAAUUGGAUUACCCUGGUGGAUAAGAAACUGAGCUGCACCAUCCUGUCCCUGACUGAGGCAGACGGUCAAACCACCAUAACCUUCUGGAGAUCUAUCCAAUCAUGUGAUGAGGAUGACUUCCACAUCACCGAAAGAACAUGGACACAAUGCAAUUGGGAUCAAGAAGAAGAUCUUCUCAGAAAUUAAUAAAGUCCAUGUAAUGGAUAUAGACAAAAAGAUAAUUCAAGGACAAUCCGAGGUAGAGAGGCGAGGCAGGGGUGAGGACAUCAUCCUGCUAUUUUGACAGUCCCUGAAGGACAAUACAGAAGAGGACUUGAGACCACAGCAGCGAUCCUGCUCUUGCCCUACCUCUUCAAUGAGGACCAGUGGCCUUUGCACAAAUGAUCUGUUUCUUCAUAAACAUAGGUUUCACCGCUCUUCACUCCUUUACUGCACAUUGGCAGAAAUCCAUUUCACCAUGAAAGUGAAAUCAUGCUGGCCUUUGAUGGGGAGAACAUCCACGCCCUAGAGAACAUCCCUAUGGGACUUGGGGCUCUGUUAGGGCUGUAUUUUUUCCCCCGUUAAAUUUCCCAAAAAUGUCAGAAAAACAUUAUGCUCUUAAAGUUACUGUGCUCUGGGGAUAAGACAAUUUGGGGUGAAGUUACCAGGGCCGGUCAUAAAGAUGACAAACUUCCUAACAUAACUAAGUGGUUGUUGGGCAUGUGGUUGUUAGUCACACACACACACUAAAGCUAAAAAAUCUGUAUUUAGCAUCAAGUCUACAAUAUUGUUAGUUUACCUAUGAUUCAUUUUAAUGUAUGUUGUUUUUAUUGUACAUCAUUAUUAAAAAAAAACAUUUUAAAUGUAAUAAAAAGCACUAUACAAAGUAAA